This 329-nucleotide ribosomal RNA is filed under the name uncultured eukaryote. RNAcentral describes it as "partial 18S ribosomal RNA". It matches the Rfam family "Eukaryotic small subunit ribosomal RNA", at positions 1470 to 1796 of the family's 1831-position model. The record is from RNAcentral.
CCCUUAGAUGUUCUGGGCCGCACGCGCGCUACACUGACUGGUGCAACAAGUGUCUGACCUUGGCUCGAGAGGCCUGGGCAACCUUUGAACGCCAGUCGUGCUGGGGAUAGAUUCUUGCAAUUAUUAAUCUUCAACGAGGAAUUCCUAGUAAACGCAAGUCAUCAGCUUGCAUUGAUUACGUCCCUGCCCUUUGUACACACCGCCCGUCGCACCUACCGAUUGAAUGGUCCGGUGAAGCGUUCGGACCGUGGCCUUUGGACGGUUCGCCGUCUGUUGGCUGCGGGAAGUUCGUUAAACCUUAUCAUUUAGAGGAAGGAGAANUCGUANCA